GACGAACGCUGGCGGCGUGCUUAACACAUGCAAGUCGAACGGAAAGGCCCUGCUUGCAGGGUACUCGAGUGGCGAACGGGUGAGUAACACGUGGGUGAUCUGCCCUGCACUUCGGGAUAAGCCUGGGAAACUGGGUCUAAUACCGGAUAGGAGCCAUUUUUAGUGUGAUGGUUGGAAAGUUUUUUCGGUGUAGGAUGAGCUCGCGGCCUAUCAGCUUGUUGGUGGGGUAAUGGCCUACCAAGGCGGCGACGGGUAGCCGGCCUGGGAGGGUGGACGGCCACAUUGGGACUGAGAGACGGCCCAGACUCCUACGGGAGGCAGCAGUGGGGAAUAUUGCACAAUGGGCGCAAGCCUGAUGCAGCGACGCCGCGUGGGGGAUGACGGCCUUCGGGUUGUAAACUCCUUUCGCUAGGGACGAAGCUUUUUGUGACGGUACCUAGAUAAGAAGCACCGGCUAACUACGUG
Molecule: ribosomal RNA, 465 nt
Filed under: uncultured bacterium
Lineage: Bacteria
Description: partial 16S ribosomal RNA
Rfam family: Bacterial small subunit ribosomal RNA
Source: RNAcentral